This 36-nucleotide non-coding RNA is filed under the name Trypanosoma brucei brucei. Lineage: Eukaryota; Euglenozoa; Kinetoplastea; Trypanosomatida; Trypanosomatidae. The record is from RNAcentral.
AUUUUUAUAUGUGUUUUGUUGUUGUAGUUUCUAUCU